Molecule: ribosomal RNA, 378 nt
Filed under: uncultured organism
Description: partial 16S ribosomal RNA
Rfam family: Bacterial small subunit ribosomal RNA
Source: RNAcentral
GUAGGUGGCAAGCGUUGUCCGGGAAUUAUUGGGGCGUAAAGCGCGCGCAGGCGGGUUUUUUAAGUCUGAUGUGAAAGCCCACGGGCUCAACCGUGGGAGGGGUCAUUGGAAACUGGAGAACUUGAGUGCAGAAGAGGAGAGCGGAAUUCCACGUGUAGCGGUGAAAUGCGUAGAGAUGUGGAGGAACACCAGUGGCGAAGGCGGCUCUCUGGUCUGUAACUGACGCUGAGGCGCGAAAGCGUGGGGAGCAAACAGGAUUAGAUACCCUGGUAGUCCACGCCGUAAACGAUGAGUGCUAAGUGUUAGAGGGUUUCCGCCCUUUAGUGCUGCAGCAAACGCAUUAAGCACUCCGCCUGGGGAGUACGGUCGCAAAGACUG